AACUUAAAGAGACACAUGCAUAAGCGUCCUAAGAGUUUUAUUGAAAAGAAAAAAGCUCCGUCUAGAAGGAAAAAAGCUCAGGAUAAACUUGGAGAAAGUCACAUGCUCGACGAAGUAUCUUGUUCAGCACCUCCAACUUAUGAGCCCCCACAAACACAAAAGGAUCAGUUCAGUUUCACAACAUUGUUGAUGGCACCCCUUGAUGAGACAAACGUUCCAACAUUAUACUGAUUGAGAGUGACUGGU
This is a non-coding RNA of Cicer arietinum (chickpea), 246 nucleotides long. NCBI's taxonomy places the organism in Eukaryota, Viridiplantae, Streptophyta, Magnoliopsida, Fabales, Fabaceae. The record is from RefSeq and is a predicted model, not a curated record.